This 497-nucleotide ribosomal RNA is filed under the name uncultured bacterium. Its description in RNAcentral is "partial 16S ribosomal RNA". It matches the Rfam family "Bacterial small subunit ribosomal RNA", at positions 28 to 507 of the family's 1533-position model. The record is from RNAcentral.
GAUGAACGCUGGCGGCGUGCCUAAUACAUGCAAGUCGAGCGAACAGACGAGGAGCUUGCUCCUUCGACGUUAGCGGCGGACGGGUGAGUAACACGUAGGUAACCUACCUAUAAGACUGGGAUAACUUCGGGAAACCGGAGCUAAUACCGGAUAAUAUUUCGAACCGCAUGGUUCGAUAGUGAAAGAUGGCUUUGCUAUCACUUAUAGAUGGACCUGCGCCGUAUUAGCUAGUUGGUAAGGUAACGGCUUACCAAGGCAACGAUACGUAGCCGACCUGAGAGGAUGAUCGGCCAAACUGGAACUGAGACACGGUCCAGACUCCUACGGGAGGCAGCAGUAGGGAAUCUUCCGCAAUGGGCGAAAGCCUGACGGAGCAACGCCGCGUGAGUGAUGAAGGUCUUCGGAUCGUAAAACUCUGUUAUUAGGGAAGAACAAACGUGUAAGUAACUGUGCACGUCUUGACGGUACCUAAUCAGAAAGCCACGGCUAACUACGUG